Molecule: non-coding RNA, 113 nt
Filed under: uncultured Salinibacter sp.
Lineage: Bacteria; Pseudomonadati; Rhodothermota; Rhodothermia; Rhodothermales; Salinibacteraceae
Description: SAM riboswitch (S box leader)
Rfam family: SAM riboswitch aptamer (S box leader)
About the family: The SAM riboswitch is found upstream of a number of genes which code for proteins involved in methionine or cysteine biosynthesis in Gram-positive bacteria. The SAM riboswitch acts at the level of transcription termination control.
Source: RNAcentral
UUCAUCCAGAAGGGUGGAGGGAGCAGGCCCUCUGAAGCCCUGGCAACCGCCCCGGCGACCGUCGGGGAAAGGUGCCCCGUCCUGCCCCGACAAGCUGUCGGGGAAAGAUGAGA